UAGGCAAGUGCUCUACCACUGAGCCACAAUCCCAGUCCCCUAAUUUUCAUAUUUUAUUGGAAUCACUCAUUUAAUAAGUUCACCUGGUAGAGAAUGUUGAGCUUUCAUUUUGUUCUUUUUCUUGGUCUUUUUUUAUUUUCAAUUACCUGAAAUCAGGCCUAAAGCUGUGCUAUGGAUAUUGAUUUUAAAAGCAGAAUAUUAAUGUGGUUAUUGUUUGAUUCAAUAUAGGUAUUUACAUAUUAUUAUUCAUGAACUUGGACUCUGGGCAGUCAUCUUUUGUCACUAACAUAAACUUUGAUUUUCCUUUCUUGCUCAUAGAGGGUGACUUUAACUGAUCAUUGUACUAAUAGGAAGAAGUCCAGGUCGUCCUGAGAAGAGUUGGCUUAUACAGAGUUCAAGAUGCACAUUUGUUGGAUUUCUGUAAGCCAUUUGAUGCCACAUAUUCAUUUCUGAUGACAACUUUACACUUGUGCUGGCAGAACACCCACAGUGACAACUGCUGUCUAUGUUUAGUCUGUCCAAGACCUCAACCAGCUAGUAUGUUUGUGGAAAAACCUACACUGUUCUUGUUAGCAGCUAUGUAAAUAUUAGACCUCUCUCUGAGUUUAUCUUCUCAGGUCUGCCAAUUUAUUUUUUGGCAGUUUAGAUCCUGUGAUUGCCUCAAUUUACCCUUUGAAAUGAGGGAUUAAAGGUUUUAGUUAUCCUUUGGGUUAAGUGAAGCACAAUUCUUUUUGAAUCGGUACACGGUUUUAUAUAUGUCCAGUUUAUGAUGGAUGUGUGUGUUGGGGAAUGAACCAGCGCUUUGAGUACAUGCUCUUACUUCCGAGUUACACUUCAGGUUCCUAGCCCCAAUUUAUGGUGGUGCCUCCCCCCCACACACCGCCCCGCCGCCCCAGUUCCUCACACAUGUUGGCAAGCAUUCUCCCACUAAACUGCAUGCAUAGCCUCCUGGUUUGUGAUUUCAAAAAUUUUACUUCCACCGUUUAUUUGCUUCCUGUGGUUCGUACAACAUCCUAGCACAGACUUGGUAGCUUAAAACAACAGGAAUUUAGCUGAGCACCGUGGCACCGGCCUGUAAUCCUAGCUACUCUGGAGACUGAGGCAGGAGGAUCACAAGUUUCAGGCCAACUUUGGCAAAUUAGUGAGACCUUGACUCAAAGUAAAA
This 1165-nucleotide long non-coding RNA is filed under the name Marmota monax (woodchuck). The record is from RNAcentral. Lineage: Eukaryota; Metazoa; Chordata; Mammalia; Rodentia; Sciuridae.